CCAAACGGGCUCUCCUUUCUUUAAACUCUUCCUUCACCUCCUUCCCUGCCUCUCAUCACACCCCCUAAAGUGUGCGCUGCCUUCCGUAAUUUCUCAUUUCAAUGCCAUCCAAACCCCAGGCGACUUGCUCUGGUUCGUUGGCAGCCUAGUCCGGGGUCCAACCCAGACGUUUGCUGUCCAGCCCAAGCCUCUUCCUAGUACCGCCUCACAUGGGAACAGAAAGGUCAAGGCUUAAAGGAAAAUGACAGAUGGAAAGAAAAGCCUCCCCCGGCCUGUGGAGCUCCGUGAAAUCCCUCAUUAUGGGAUUUCCCUAGUCGGGGCUACAAGGAGAAGCCCGAAGGCUCAUGGCAAAAAUCGACAACACAUCAAGGCACUGUACACACAGGCGUCACUCGUCACAGCGCAAACAUCUGACAAGCAGCCCUGAGGGUGGGGGCGGCAGGGUGACAGGAAGGAGGAGGGAGGAGAGGAGAGGGGAGAGGAGAGGGAAACUACCGACAUGGUGACUUCACUUCCUGCCUGUUGGCACCCUGCCUGUUCUCCUCCACAGAGAUCCCAAGGAAAGGUCUUUUAAAAAUGCAGCAGGAAAAACUUGGGCUAGAUUCAAGGAAGACCUGAGUCCAGGGUUCCAGGAAGAGAUCGUCAGGGCAUCUCCUUCCCUGGAAAUCUUGAAGCAAGCUUCCCAUCGCCCCAGGGAGGGACACAGGCAGAGCGUCUUCCUCCGUGGGUUCUCCUGUUAUACAGAGGGAUGCUGCUCAGGACCCAGAGCUGACUGCAGCGUUUUCCUGGGAUGCUGCCACAGCCUGGAGGAUGUCCCCCUCCCCAGCUGCAGCUGCCGUCCGGAGGGUUCUCCGUGAGGUAAAGGGACGUGGUCCUGCAGCCACCGGUGAUGGAGCUGUGAUUGGAACCUGAGUCCUGCUGACUCCAGCCUCAUGCCCUGUCCUCCUGAACACACUGUCUCUUUCUCCAGUCUCCUUGCGGGCUACUCUCCGCUUCCCUGCUUCAUCACCCACAUGCCCUGAAGGUGCCGAGCAGCUGUAAACCUCUGGCUCCUCUCGCAGGGGCUUCCUUUUGGCUAGUGUGGUACACACGUGCCCACUUAGCAAACUCCACAUUCUAGCUCGAGCAUCUUACCCGUGGUGAAAUCUUCCCAGACCUCCUCAAACAGCUUGUGGUUAUUGUCAUCUUCUCCAUCCUGCUGUUGAAAAGGAGGGAGUCAUGGAGCAUAUCACACAGUCAUUUGACAGUCUCUGUCUCUCCAGUGGAUCUGUGAGCACCUUGCAAGUGAGGACCGAGUUUUACUUGUCAUUGAUUUCCACCCCCAGUCAUGGUGCUGGUGCUGACGUGUACUGAGCAGUUUUUCAAAGUGCCAAGUGCUUUACGUGGAUUAGCAUAUUUACCUUGCCUAAUAACCCUAUAAGGUAUUAUUUUCCCCCUUUUCCAAAUGAGGAAAUUGAGAAGAAGGGAACAGUGGCAACUCUAGAAUUUUAAUAAACAGGAGGAUUUAUAAGGUACAAUCUGGUUGCAGAGUACCAGGA
Non-coding RNA from Microcebus murinus (gray mouse lemur), 1538 nucleotides. The record is from RefSeq and is a predicted model, not a curated record. NCBI's taxonomy places the organism in Eukaryota, Metazoa, Chordata, Mammalia, Primates, Cheirogaleidae.